This 61-nucleotide transfer RNA is filed under the name Lamprigera yunnana. RNAcentral's name for it is "tRNA-Cys". The record is from RNAcentral. Lineage: Eukaryota; Metazoa; Arthropoda; Insecta; Coleoptera; Lampyridae.
AAUCUUGUAUUCAAGUAUGAUUUUAAAUUGCAAAUUUAAAGGUAACUUAUGUUUAAGAUUU